UGAGUAAACUAGGUGAUCGCGCUAGUAUGCGAGGAAAGUCCGGGCUCCACAGGGCAUAGUGCUGGGUAACACCCAGUGAGGGCGACCUCAAGGAAAGUGCCACAGAAAACAAACCGCCCCCUUUCGGGGGUAAGGGUGAAAAGGUGCGGUAAGAGCGCACCAGCGGUUAGGCGACUAACCGGCUUGGUAAACCCCACUAGGAGCAAGACCAAAUAGGAGGGAGUUAACGGUGGCCCGCCGGUUCCCUCGGGUUAGGUCGCUAGAGAAGCUAGGCAACUAGUUUCCCAGAUGGAUGAUCACCCUCGACAGAACCCGGCUUAUCGGUUUACUCAGGAA
RNAcentral lists this RNase P RNA (336 nucleotides) under Bacillota bacterium. RNAcentral describes it as "RNase P RNA component class A". It matches the Rfam family "Bacterial RNase P class A". Rfam says of the family: Ribonuclease P (RNase P) is a ubiquitous endoribonuclease, found in archaea, bacteria and eukarya as well as chloroplasts and mitochondria. Its best characterised activity is the generation of mature 5'-ends of tRNAs by cleaving the 5'-leader elements of precursor-tRNAs. Lineage: Bacteria; Bacillati; Bacillota. The record is from RNAcentral.